Molecule: ribosomal RNA, 1405 nt
Filed under: Halobacillus mangrovi
Lineage: Bacteria; Bacillati; Bacillota; Bacilli; Caryophanales; Bacillaceae
Description: bacterial SSU rRNA
Rfam family: Bacterial small subunit ribosomal RNA
Source: RNAcentral
GUGCAGUCGAGCGCGGGAGCGAGCGGAUACCCCUUCGGGGGUGAAGCUCGUGGAACGAGCGGCGGACGGGUGAGUAACACGUGGGCAACCUGCCUGUAAGACCGGAAUAACCCCGGGAAACCGGGGCUAAUGCCGGGUAACACUUUCUUCCGCAUGGAAGAGAGUUAAAAGAUGGCUUCUCGCUAUCACUUACAGAUGGGCCCGCGGCGCAUUAGCUAGUUGGUGAGGUAACGGCUCACCAAGGCAACGAUGCGUAGCCGACCUGAGAGGGUGAUCGGCCACACUGGGACUGAGACACGGCCCAGACUCCUACGGGAGGCAGCAGUAGGGAAUCUUCCGCAAUGGACGAAAGUCUGACGGAGCAACGCCGCGUGAACGAUGAAGGUCUUCGGAUCGUAAAGUUCUGUUGUUAGGGAAGAACAAGUACCGUGCGAAUAGAGCGGUACCUUGACGGUACCUAACGAGGAAGCCCCGGCUAACUACGUGCCAGCAGCCGCGGUAAUACGUAGGGGGCAAGCGUUGUCCGGAAUUAUUGGGCGUAAAGCGCGCGCCAGGCGGUUCCUUAAGUCUGAUGUGAAAGCCCACGGCUCAACCGUGGAGGGUCAUUGGAAACUGGGGAACUUGAGGACAGAAGAGGAGGAGUGGAAUUCCACGUGUAGCGGUGAAAUGCGUAGAUAUGUGGAGGAACACCAGUGGCGAAGGCGACUCUCUGGUCUGUCUCUGACGCUGAGGUGCGAAAGCGUGGGUAGCAAACAGGAUUAGAUACCCUGGUAGUCCACGCCGUAAACGAUGAGUGCUAGGUGUUAGGGGGCUUCCACCCCUUAGUGCUGAAGUUAACGCAUUAAGCACUCCCGCCUGGGGAGUACGGCCGCAAGGCUGAAACUCAAAGGAAUUGACGGGGGCCCGCACAAAGCGGUGGAGCAUGUGGGUUUAAUUCGAAGCAACGCGAAGAACCUUACCAGGUCUUGACAUCCUUGGACCUCCCUAGAGAUAGGGAUUUCCCUUCGGGGACCAAGUGACAGGUGGUGCAUGGUUGUCGUCAGCUCGUGUCGUGAGAUGUUGGGUUAAGUCCCGCAACGAGCGCAACCCCUAAUCUUAGUUGCCAGCAUUCAGUUGGGCACUCUAAGGUGACUGCCGGUGACAAACCGGAGGAAGGCGGGGAUGACGUCAAAUCAUCAUGCCCCUUAUGACCUGGGCUACACACGUGCUACAAUGGAUGGUACAAAGGGCAGCGAAGCCGCGAGGUGUAGCAAAUCCCAUAAAACCAUUCUCAGUUCGGAUUGCAGGCUGCAACUCGCCUGCAUGAAGCCGGAAUCGCUAGUAAUCGCGGAUCAGCAUGCCGCGGUGAAUACGUUCCCGGGCCUUGUACACACCGCCCGUCACACCACGAGAGUUGGCAACACCC